GACGAACGCUGGCGGCGUGCUUAACACAUGCAAGUCGAACGGAAAGGCCCUGCUUUUGUGGGGUGCUCGAGUGGCGAACGGGUGAGUAACACGUGAGUAACCUGCCCUUGACUUUGGGAUAACUUCAGGAAACUGGGGCUAAUACAGGAUAGGAGCUCCUGCUGCAUGGUGGGGGGUGGAAAGUUUCGGCGGGUGGGGAUGGACUCGCGGCUUAUCAGCUUGUUGGUGGGGUAGUGGCUUACCAAGGCUUUGACGGGUAGCCGGCCUGGGAGGGUGACCGGCCACAUGGGGACUGCGAUAGGGCCCAGUCUCCUACGUGGGGCAGCAGUGGGGAAUAUUGCACAAUGGGCGGAAGCCUGAUGCAGCAGCGCCGCGUGUGUGAUGCCGGCCUGCGGGUUGUAAACCGCUUUCGCCUGUGACGAAGCGUGAGUGACGGUAAUGGGUAAAGAAGCACCGGCUAACUACGUG
RNAcentral lists this ribosomal RNA (468 nucleotides) under uncultured bacterium. Its description in RNAcentral is "partial 16S ribosomal RNA". It matches the Rfam family "Bacterial small subunit ribosomal RNA", at positions 28 to 507 of the family's 1533-position model. The record is from RNAcentral.